GGAAGUCAACAACAUUCCCUGGUGAAGCAAUGUGACAGAAUUUUAUAGUGGAAUAAUGCGACAGAUUUUUCCAGAUGGAAUAAUGCGACAGAAUAUUCUUGAUGGAACAGUGCGACAGAGUUUAUUCGGUGGAAAGUCUCGUCAUGUUUCCCUAUCGUGGAUGAUAGUAUUGUAAACGGAAAGGAUUCUUUUUUGAGAGUUAACCUGUGUCCUGGGUGGCGUUGUGGAAUCCGACCAACAGCAAAGACGGAAUGAAUGUGAUGUGACUGUAAAACUCUUUAUUGGUUCCUGCCUGACUUUGAUCAUCCUGACCAAGUUAGCGUAUCGAAAGUGAAAGUGCCAGCAAGAAACAGACGUGGAUCCCGCAGGCAGAAGCGCGGUCACUGGGUUUACACAAUGCCAAACAUGGAAAGCGGAAUCUGUGGACUCUGAGGAACUACUUGUGUAACUACUACCCCCCGAGGGCUGCGGAGGCUGCAUAAACAUCCUGCUCUUUGGCAUGGUGGGGACUGGUAAAUCAUCGACCAUCAACAUAUUCCUCUCGGCUCUGGAUCCAAAAGGAGUGACCGUAACCUGUGUCCCAACGGGGAUGAAUCCCUACGUUCUCACAACAGAGCUCAGAUCCUACAGAGCAGGGAGUUUAAGGUUUUGGGAUUCAACUGGAUGGAAUGCUCUGGCGAACACUGAUCAGACAAAGAGAGUGUUACAGACGACCCUGGAAGGAAGCCAAAGGAACAAACUUACCGAAUUUAAAUCCUGAUGCCAACUAUCCUGUUAUUCCGGAAAAUAUAAUACAUGGAGUUGCACUCAUAGUUAACAUCAACAUCAUAGACAUGAUCAGUGACAAGAAUAUGAUCAAGUCUGAGGAGUUACAGACGAUCGUGGCACAGAAAUUUUGAAAUGUUGGCAGAACGUACUGGGAUGGAAAGGCGUUCCAUGUUUGUGGAAAUCAGUGGAGAGGUGAACGGAUCGAGAUGAUAAGAUGCAUCCUGGCCCUGUAUAUUCUGAAUAAUAUGGUCAGAAAGAUUGACCGAUUUCUCAAAGCAGUGCAAUGGUCACAGCUGACCUUGUCCAGUGUUGUGAAUCUGAUCCAGUUUCAGGAGCACAGACACUGCUGUGGGAUUGAUGUUUUUAUUGUUUUCCCUAUAGUUUUAGCAUUCUUUAUGCUUGUUUAUAUAUUUGUACAAUCACCUGUUUGUCUGUAGACUUUCAGUAACAUUGUAUAAUUGGUUCUACAGUUGUCACCCUGCAGAGCUGAUGCGCUGUAUGGAAGCAUCAUGAACCUUGUCGAAAAGUUCUAAGCAGGAACUCUUGACCCCUGAAAACUGGUGAAGUGCAUGUAUUUUAAGAUAUAAAAGACCAUGCUUGUGUUCGCUUUAGCAGAGUCUCUUAGUGGUCUCU
Hypanus sabinus (Atlantic stingray) is the source of this 1401-nucleotide long non-coding RNA. RefSeq lists it as uncharacterized. Lineage: Eukaryota; Metazoa; Chordata; Chondrichthyes; Myliobatiformes; Dasyatidae. The transcript is spliced from 5 exons. The record is from RefSeq and is a predicted model, not a curated record.